CAUGCUGUAGCUUAAUCAACAAAAGCAUCUGGCCUACACCCAGAAGACUCCACGACAAAUGGACAUCAUGA
This 71-nucleotide transfer RNA is filed under the name Neodon liaoruii. RNAcentral's name for it is "Neodon sp. l BGI-2019 tRNA-Val". It matches the Rfam family "tRNA". From Rfam's summary of the family: Transfer RNA (tRNA) molecules are approximately 80 nucleotides in length. Their secondary structure includes four short double-helical elements and three loops (D, anti-codon, and T loops). The record is from RNAcentral. Lineage: Eukaryota; Metazoa; Chordata; Mammalia; Rodentia; Cricetidae.